RNAcentral lists this ribosomal RNA (427 nucleotides) under uncultured bacterium. RNAcentral's name for it is "partial 16S ribosomal RNA". It matches the Rfam family "Bacterial small subunit ribosomal RNA", at positions 355 to 774 of the family's 1533-position model. The record is from RNAcentral.
UGGGGAAUAUUGGACAAUGGGCGAAAGCCUGAUCCAGCCAUGCCGCGUGUGUGAAGAAGGUCUUCGGAUUGUAAAGCACUUUAAGUUGGGAGGAAGGGCAUUAACCUAAUACGUUAGUGUUUUGACGUUACCGACAGAAUAAGCACCGGCUAACUCUGUGCCAGCAGCCGCGGUAAUACAGAGGGUGCAAGCGUUAAUCGGAAUUACUGGGCGUAAAGCGCGCGUAGGUGUUUUGUUAAGUUGGAUGUGAAAUCCCCGGGCUCAACCUGGGAACUGCAUUCACAACUGACUGACUAGAGUAUGGUAGAGGGUGGUGGAAUUUCCUGUGUAGCGGUGAAAUGCGUAGAUAUAGGAAGGAACACCAGUGGCGAAGGCGACCACCUGGACUAAUACUGACACUGAGGUGCGAAAGCGUGGGUAGCAAACA